RNAcentral lists this ribosomal RNA (501 nucleotides) under uncultured bacterium. Its description in RNAcentral is "partial 16S ribosomal RNA". It matches the Rfam family "Bacterial small subunit ribosomal RNA", at positions 30 to 523 of the family's 1533-position model. The record is from RNAcentral.
AUUGAACGCUGGCGGCAGGCUUAACACAUGCAAGUCGAGCGGGGGAAGGUAGCUUGCUACCGGACCUAGCGGCGGACGGGUGAGUAAUGCUUAGGAAUCUGCCUAUUAGUGGGGGACAACAUCUCGAAAGGGAUGCUAAUACCGCAUGCGUCCUACGGGAGAAAGCAGGGGAUCUUCGGACCUUGCGCUAAUAGAUGAGCCUAGGUCGGAUUAGCUAGUUGGGGGGGUAAAGGCCUACCAAGGCGACGAUCUGUAGCGGGUCUGAGAGGAUGAUCCGCCAUACUGGGACUGAGACACGGCCCAGACUCCUACGGGAGGCAGCAGUGGGGAAUAUUGGACAAUGGGGGGAACCCUGAUCCAGCCAUGCCGCGUGUGUGAAGAAGGCCUUAUGGUUGUAAAGCACUUUAAGCGAGGAGGAGGCUACUCUAGUUAAUACCUAGGGAUAGUGGACGUUACUCGCAGAAUAAGCACCGGCUAACUCUGUGCCAGCCGCCGCCGUAA